UACGUAGGGUGCAAGCGUUGUCCGGAAUUAUUGGGCGUAAAGAGCUCGUAGGCGGUUUGUCGCGUCUGCUGUGAAAACUCAGGGCUUAACUCUGAGCUUGCAGUGGGUACGGGCAGACUAGAGUGCGGUAGGGGAGACUGGAAUUCCUGGUGUAGCGGUGAAAUGCGCAGAUAUCUGGAGGAACACCGGUGGCGAAGGCGGCAUCCUGGACCAACACUGACACUGAGGAGCGAAAGCCAGGGGAGCAAACGGG
This 253-nucleotide ribosomal RNA is filed under the name uncultured bacterium. Its description in RNAcentral is "partial 16S ribosomal RNA". It matches the Rfam family "Bacterial small subunit ribosomal RNA", at positions 524 to 776 of the family's 1533-position model. The record is from RNAcentral.